RNAcentral lists this ribosomal RNA (502 nucleotides) under uncultured Diaphorobacter sp. RNAcentral's name for it is "partial 16S ribosomal RNA". The record is from RNAcentral. Lineage: Bacteria; Pseudomonadati; Pseudomonadota; Betaproteobacteria; Burkholderiales; Comamonadaceae.
CACGUAGUUAGCCGGUGCUUAUUCUUACGGUACCGUCAUGACCCCUCUUUAUUAGAAAGAGGCUUUUCGUUCCGUACAAAAGCAGUUUACAACCCGAAGGCCUUCAUCCUGCACGCGGCAUGGCUGGAUCAGGCUUUCGCCCAUUGUCCAAAAUUCCCCACUGCUGCCUCCCGUAGGAGUCUGGGCCGUGUCUCAGUCCCAGUGUGGCUGAUCAUCCUCUCAGACCAGCUACAGAUCGUCGGCUUGGUAAGCUUUUAUCCCACCAACUACCUAAUCUGCCAUCGGCCGCUCCGUCCGCGCGAGGUCCGAAGAUCCCCCGCUUUCAUCCGUAGAUCGUAUGCGGUAUUAGCAAAGCUUUCGCCUCGUUAUCCCCCACGAUCGGGCACGUUCCGAUGUAUUACUCACCCGUUCGCCACUCGUCAGCAUCCGAAGACCUGUUACCGUUCGACUUGCAUGUGUAAGGCAUGCCGCCAGCGUUCAAUCUGAGCCAGGAUCAAACUCU